Molecule: transfer RNA, 75 nt
Filed under: Campylobacterota bacterium
Lineage: Bacteria; Pseudomonadati; Campylobacterota
Description: tRNA-Glu
Rfam family: tRNA
About the family: Transfer RNA (tRNA) molecules are approximately 80 nucleotides in length. Their secondary structure includes four short double-helical elements and three loops (D, anti-codon, and T loops).
Source: RNAcentral
GGCUCCCUCGUCUAGCGGUAAGGACACCACCCUUUCACGGUGGAUACACGGGUUCGAGUCCCGUGGGAGUCACCA